Molecule: non-coding RNA, 690 nt
Organism: Monodelphis domestica (gray short-tailed opossum)
Lineage: Eukaryota; Metazoa; Chordata; Mammalia; Didelphimorphia; Didelphidae
Source: RefSeq, a predicted model, not a curated record
UCUCUGCACCAAUUACCUUUGAUGCCAAGUUCUCAGGAUGGCAGAGGUAGAUGGAACCAGGGGAUGAAGCCCAUGAGCAGGAAUCCUGCCACAUCUAACCCAAGCUGGAGCCUUUGAUCCUCUCUUUGAAUAUUUCCUUUGGGUAGGGGGAGAAUAAACCAUCUUGCAGAGCCAACUUGAGUUAGAGACCUAGAAAUUGGAAGAGUUGGAAGAGACCUUAGGCAUCGUCCCAUCCGACCCGACCCUUUGACUUGACAGAUGGGAAGACUGAGAUGCAGAAAGGAGAAAUGUAUUCCCCAAGGCUGCUCAGCUAGUUCGGUCAUGGAACAUCAAGCCCAAAGCACUAAAAGGGAACUUUCACCUUGCUAUUGGCCAUCUCCUGUUUCAAACUGCCAGCCUGGGCUGGGCCAUGAACAAGUUAACCAGCCAGGAAGCAUUCACUAGCUGACUACAACAUAUCAGGAUAAAAGUCACUACUUUUUUCAACUCAUCUGAUGGCAUCUGAUGACUUGAGGCUCUUCACUCCUUUGGUUUUCAUCUUCUGGCUGAGAUCUUGAGUUUCCAGGAUUUGCCAUCAUUACUCAGCUGCCUUCUCACCCUGGAACAAAACUUCCAUUAGACUAGCAGUUUUUCCCAAUGGUGAAUUCUUUCUGAGUGGAAGGAACUCUUCCUUCAUUUUGAGGAUAGGCC